RNAcentral lists this small RNA (651 nucleotides) under Porites lobata. Its description in RNAcentral is "eukaryotic LSU rRNA". The stretch from base 240 to 393 matches the Rfam family "5.8S ribosomal RNA". Lineage: Eukaryota; Metazoa; Cnidaria; Anthozoa; Scleractinia; Poritidae. The record is from RNAcentral.
GGUGAACCUGCGGAAGGAUCAUUACCGAUGUGAAAAAUCCAAGGUUAAACAUCAUUAACCAGUGUGAACUGUGAAACAACUCUUUAGGGGUCGGCGCAGGCGUGUGUCGUUAAAUGGCGGAUAGGUUCCUUCCGCCAGCCCCGCCAUUGUGUUUAUGAUAUCACUUUGAACGUUUAAGACUGAGAACGUAUGUAUCAUGCAUUAAAUGUAUGAGAAAGAAGGAAAGAAAAAUGAGAGACAACUUUUGACGGUGGAUCUCUUGGCUCACGUAUCGAUGAAGAACGCAGCCAGCUGCGAUAUGUAGUGUGAAUUGCAGAAUUCAGUGAAUCAUUGAAUCUUUGAACGCAAAUGGCGCUCUUGGGUUCUCCCAGGAGCAUGUCUGUCUGAGUGUCGGAUUUUAUCGAACGCACUCGUGAGUGCGGUAUUGAGGUGUCACGGCGUGUUAGCAAGCAAGCAAGCAUUAAAUCGCCGUGUCCCUUGAAGGACAGCAGCAUUGGACUCGCAUUCUCUAUUGAAACUUGAGUGCGAAGGCUAAAGAUAAUAUUUUCCUUCGCCCAAACAUGCAAUAGCAGAAACAAAAUCCAAUCAAAGCGGUGACAGACAAUGACAACAUCAAAUCUUGACCUCAGAUCAGGCAAGGCUACCCGCUGA